Molecule: small nucleolar RNA, 91 nt
Organism: Candida albicans SC5314
Lineage: Eukaryota; Fungi; Ascomycota; Pichiomycetes; Serinales; Debaryomycetaceae
Source: RefSeq, a predicted model, not a curated record
AUCAACUUUAAUUUGGAGUCUCAAUCAAUCAAUAUUGUUUGAUGAUUUAUAAUUAUCAUAGUCGACUCUGAUUCGCUUGAUGGAUACAUUU